UGAAAACGCAGAAGGAAAGAAAAAGCUCAUUACCGUUCUCACAUAAGCGCUUCUCCAAAGGGAAAAAACGAUUCUCAAAUGCGAUUCUUCCCUACGAUUCACGGUUCUGCGAUAAGGCUUCUUGCAACGACAUGAUGACCAAGUCGCCUGGAUUCAAGCUCGCGACAACAACGACCAUCCACUCAUGAUUCACGGUUGGAUUUGACUCAUAAUUGGUUUAGUGUUUCGAAUCUAAGUUUAGUUUUAAUUCGUUUAGGUUCAGAACUUAUGGUAUUUUGAUUCACGUUUUUUCUUUACGGUUUGUGUUACGAUUUCAAUCGUUUGCGUUUUCUGUUUUAGUUCUGAUUGUGGUUUGAAUUACUACUGAAGCGAACAGACCUAAUCACAACAAAGUUGGAAGAAUUUUACCUGUUGAAGCGAAAAAGAGAAAAAAAUGCAGCUUUCGAUCUUGCUCACAAGGUGUUCAAUGAAAUUCCUCAACCAAUCUUUUGCUUCUUAUUUUGGUUUGUGCUAUUUGCUUCUCUUUCUUGCUUAUAUUGCUUUGUUGUUUUCUUGCUACUUGAAUUCUGAUUUAUUUAUUUUUGUUACUAUUGCUUUGGCUUAUUGAGCUCUUGAAAGGGGUGAUGAUAAUAAAGAUUAAAGAGUGGUGACUAUGAUGAAAUUUGGAGAUUUGUUGAAAGUUGAACGUGGUUGAAUGUUGUGGAUUAAUGGAGUGAAUUAUGGUGAAGAAUUUUGAUUGAGAUAGAGAUGGAUAUAGGUUGUGGAGGUUUGUUCAAGUUUGAAGAUGUUUGGAGAAUGGAGAUUGUUAAAGAUGGUGGUUUGAAGGUGGUUAUAGUGGUGGUUUGAAGAUUGAAAACGAAGUUUAAUUGUGUAGAGGAAAAGAUGAAGAUUGGAGAGAAUGAGGAAAGUGAUGAUGUGGUGAGAAUGAUGAAAAUUAUGAAUUGUGAUUAGCCUUUCAUGGUGAUGAUGAGUGAAAUUUAAAUAAAAUAGAAAUGGAGGGGAAGGUGGUUAGGGUUCAAUUAUUCAUAGCCUUUGGAUUGUAAUCCAUAUGAUAAGUUUAAGAGAGGAUGAGAUUGAAUCUCGAAGUUAGUUGGAGAUUGUAUUAGUUUUAGUGAUUGAGAUUGUUAGAGGUAGUUAUGAUAGUUAGAGAUUUGUUAGAAAGGAGAUGUAAACUAAAAUAUCAUGUAAAUGCAAAUGUGUGACAAAUUCAAAUUGAAAUACAAAUUUGAAAUGUAAAAUGCUAAUUUAGUUAUAAUAUGUAAAUAGAUGUAAAAUUGAAGGAUGUGAUGCAAAUGCGAAAUUCAAUUUUGUGAAGCAAAUGUAAUGUAAUUUUGGUAAAGUAAAAGCAUUUUUUUAUUUGAAUAAAAUGUACCUUUGUUUCAUUCAUCCCAAAAUAGAUUUUUCCUUAUGUAUAGAUAAAGCAAAAUACAAAC
RNAcentral lists this long non-coding RNA (1433 nucleotides) under Lathyrus oleraceus (garden pea). RNAcentral describes it as "Pisum sativum (pea) long non-coding RNA (PSAT_LNC021229)". Lineage: Eukaryota; Viridiplantae; Streptophyta; Magnoliopsida; Fabales; Fabaceae. The record is from RNAcentral.